GUGUGCGGGCGCGGGGAAGGAGCGCGGGGCAGGCGGGCGGGGAUGAGGCAGGUGCGCCGUUCCUCCACCCCACGACCAGGUCCCGGUUCUGGCGGAUUUGGCCCAGGCACCCCCAGCCCCCAGAUCUGGCCGGGUGCGGCGGCUCAUGCCUGUAAUCCCAGCACUUUGGGAGGCCGAAGCAGGUGGAUCACAUGAAGUCAGAAGUUGGAGACUAGCCUGGCCAACAUGCCAGCCUCCAGCAUCGCCUCCUCUGGGAUCUUCUCUGACUUCCCAGUCGGUUUCAGAAGCCUCUGAUGACCCCAUGCGGAGAAGACUGCUCCCCUCACUGCUGGCACACGGCAGAUGCUCAACACUUGCUCCAGCUUCGCCUUCCGCCGCGAGUUGAAGCUCCCCGAGGCCUCCUCAGAAGCAGAAGCCACCACGCUUCCUGUACAGCCUGUGGGACCCGGAGCCAGUUCAACCUCUUUUCUUUAUAAAUUACCCAGACUCGGCCGGGCACGGUGGCUCACGCCUGUAAUCCCAGCACUUUGUUGAGACCGAGGCAGGCAGAUCACGAGGUCAGGAGAUCGAGAACAUCCUGGCUAACACGGUGAAACCCCGUCUCUACUAAAAAUACAAAAAAUUAGCCGGGCGUGGUGGCGGGCGCCUGUGGUCCCAGCUACUCGGGAGGCUGAGGCAGGAGAAUGGUGUGAACCCGGG
RNAcentral lists this long non-coding RNA (699 nucleotides) under Homo sapiens (human). RNAcentral describes it as "HSALNT0246615". Lineage: Eukaryota; Metazoa; Chordata; Mammalia; Primates; Hominidae. The record is from RNAcentral.